UACGUAGGGUGCGAGCGUUGUCCGGAAUUACUGGGCGUAAAGAGCUCGUAGGUGGUUUGUCGCGUUGUUCGUGAAAACCUGAGGCUUAACCUUGGGCGUGCGGGCGAUACGGGCAGACUGGAGUACUGCAGGGGAGACUGGAAUUCCUGGUGUAGCGGUGGAAUGCGCAGAUAUCAGGAGGAACACCGGUGGCGAAGGCGGCAUCCUGGACCGGCAUUGACGCUGAGGCGCGAAAGCCAGGGGAGCAAGCGGG
RNAcentral lists this ribosomal RNA (253 nucleotides) under uncultured bacterium. RNAcentral describes it as "partial 16S ribosomal RNA". It matches the Rfam family "Bacterial small subunit ribosomal RNA", at positions 524 to 776 of the family's 1533-position model. The record is from RNAcentral.